This 74-nucleotide transfer RNA is filed under the name Planctomycetales bacterium. RNAcentral's name for it is "tRNA-Arg". It matches the Rfam family "tRNA". From Rfam's summary of the family: Transfer RNA (tRNA) molecules are approximately 80 nucleotides in length. Their secondary structure includes four short double-helical elements and three loops (D, anti-codon, and T loops). The record is from RNAcentral. Lineage: Bacteria; Pseudomonadati; Planctomycetota; Planctomycetia; Planctomycetales.
GCCCUGGUAGUUCAACUGGAUAGAAUAUCGGUCUUCGAAACCGAGGGUUGCAGGUUCGAAUCCUGCCCGGGGCG